CUCGAGCGGAUUGUUGAGUUUACUCAACGAUCAGCGGCGGACGGGUGAGUAACACGUGGGCAACCUGCCUAUAAGACUGGGAUAACUUCGGGAAACCGGAGCUAAUACCGGAUAUGUUCUUUUCUCGCAUGAGAGAAGAUGGAAAGACGGUCUCGGCUGUCACUUAUAGAUGGGCCCGCGGCGCAUUAGCUAGUUGGUGAGGUAAUGGCUCACCAAGGCAACGAUGCGUAGCCGACCUGAGAGGGUGAUCGGCCACACUGGGACUGAGACACGGCCCAGACUCCUACGGGAGGCAGCAGUAGGGAAUCUUCCGCAAUGGACGAAAGUCUGACGGAGCAACGCCGCGUGAACGAUGAAGGCUUUCGGGUCGUAAAGUUCUGUUGUUAGGGAAGAACAAGUACCAGAGUAACUGCUGGUACCUUGACGGUACCUAACCAGAAAGCCACGGCUAACUACGUGCCAGCAGCCGCGGUAAUACGUAGGUGGCAAGCGUUAUCCGGAAUUAUUGGGCGUAAAGCGCGCGCAGGUGGUUCCUUAAGUCUGAUGUGAAAGCCCCCGGCUCAACCGGGGAGGGUCAUUGGAAACUGGGGAACUUGAGUGUAGAAGAGGAAAGUGGAAUUCCACGUGUAGCGGUGAAAUGCGUAGAGAUGUGGAGGAACACCAGUGGCGAAGGCGACUUUCUGGUCUAUAACUGACACUGAGGCGCGAAAGCGUGGGGAGCAAACAGGAUUAGAUACCCUGGUAGUCCACGCCGUAAACGAUGAGUGCUAAGUGUUAGAGGGUUUCCGCCCUUUAGUGCUGCAGCUAACGCAUUAAGC
Molecule: ribosomal RNA, 818 nt
Filed under: uncultured Bacillus sp.
Lineage: Bacteria; Bacillati; Bacillota; Bacilli; Caryophanales; Bacillaceae
Description: bacterial SSU rRNA
Rfam family: Bacterial small subunit ribosomal RNA
Source: RNAcentral